GACGAACGCUGGCGGCGUGCUUAACACAUGCAAGUCGAACGGAAAGGCCCGGCUUUUGGGGGCUGCUCUAGGUGCGAACGGGUGAUUAACACGUGGGUAACCUGCCCUUUACUGUGAGAUAACUUCAUGAAACUGGGUCUAAUACCGCAUAGGAGCUCCUGCUGCAGGGUGGGCGUGCGUAAGUUUCGGCGGUUGGGGAGGUAAUCGCGGCUUAUCCGCUUGAUGGUGGGGUAGUGUAUUACCAUGCCUUUGACGGGUAGCCGGGCUGGGAGGGGGAGCGGCUACAUUGGGCUUGAGAUGCGGCCCAGACUACUAUCGGAGGCAGCAGUGGGGAAUAUUGUACAAUGGGCGGAGGGCUAAUGUAGCAAAGCCGCGUGGGGGAUGACGGGCAGCGGGUUGUAUUCCGCAUCUGCCUGUGCCGAAGCGUGAGUGACGGUAACGGGUAAAGAAGCACCGGCUAACUACGUG
RNAcentral lists this ribosomal RNA (468 nucleotides) under uncultured bacterium. Its description in RNAcentral is "partial 16S ribosomal RNA". It matches the Rfam family "Bacterial small subunit ribosomal RNA", at positions 28 to 507 of the family's 1533-position model. The record is from RNAcentral.